Molecule: ribosomal RNA, 482 nt
Filed under: uncultured bacterium
Lineage: Bacteria
Description: partial 16S ribosomal RNA
Rfam family: Bacterial small subunit ribosomal RNA
Source: RNAcentral
AUUGAACGCUGGCGGCAGGCCUAACACAUGCAAGUCGAGCGGAUGAAGGGAGCUUGCUCCUGGAUUCAGCGGCGGACGGGUGAGUAAUGCCUAGGAAUCUGCCUGGUAGUGGGGGAUAACGUCCGGAAACGGGCGCUAAUACCGCAUACGUCCUGAGGGAGAAAGUGGGGGAUCUUCGGACCUCACGCUAUCAGAUGAGCCUAGGUCGGAUUAGCUAGUUGGUGGGGUAAAGGCCUACCAAGGCGACGAUCCGUAACUGGUCUGAGAGGAUGAUCAGUCACACUGGAACUGAGUCACGGUCCAGACUCCUACGGGAGGCAGCAGUGGGGAAUAUUGGACAAUGGGCGAAAGCCUGAUCCAGCCAUGCCGCGUGUGAAGAAGGUCUUCGGAUUGUAAAGCACUUUAAGUUGGGAGGAAGGGCAGUAAGUUAAUACCUUGCUGUUUUGACGUUACCAACAGAAUAAGCACCGGCUAACUUCGUG